RNAcentral lists this ribosomal RNA (406 nucleotides) under uncultured bacterium. RNAcentral's name for it is "partial 16S ribosomal RNA". It matches the Rfam family "Bacterial small subunit ribosomal RNA", at positions 30 to 526 of the family's 1533-position model. The record is from RNAcentral.
AUUGAACGCUGGCGGCAGGCCUAACACAUGCAAGUCGAGCGAGCGGCGGACGGGUGAGUAAUGUCUGGGAAACUGCCUGAUGGAGGGGGAUAACUACUGGAAACGGUAGCUAAUACCGCAUACCAUCAUAUGUGCCCAGAUGGGAUUAGCUAGUAGGUGGGGUAACGGCUCACCUAGGCGACGAUCCCUAGCUGGUCUGAGAGGAUGAUCAGCCAGACUGGAACUGAGACACGGUCCAGACUCCGACGGGAGGCAGCAGUGGGGAAUAUUGAACAAUGGGCGAAAGCCUGAUACAGCCAUGCCGCGUGUGUGAAGAAGGCCUUCGGGUUGUAAAGCACUUUAAGCGGGGAGGCGUUACCAGCAGAAGAAGCACCGGCUAACUCCGUGCCAGCCGCCGCGGUAAUAC